CCUUACCUACCUUUGACAUGUACGGAACUCGCCAGAGAUGGCUUGGUGCUCGAAAGAGAACCGUAACACAGGUGCUGCAUGGCUGUCGUCAGCUCGUGUCGUGAGAUGUUGGGUUAAGUCCCGCAACGAGCGCAACCCUUGUCAUUAGAUGCUACAUUUGGUUGGGCACUCUAAUGAGACUGCCGGUGACAAACCGGAGGAAGGUGGGGAUGACGUCAAGUCCUCAUGGCCCUUAUAGGUAGGGCUACACACGUCAUACAAUGGAUGGUACAGAGGGUCGCCAACCCGCGAGGAGGAGCUAAUCCCAUAAAACCAUUCGUAGUCCGGAUCGCAGUCUGCAACUCGACUGCGUGAAGUCGGAAUCGCUAGUAAUCGCGGAUCAGAAUGUCGCGGUGAAUACGUUCCCGGGUCUUGUACACACCGCCCGUCACACCAUGGGAGCGGUUUCUGCCAGAAGUAGUUAGCCUAACCGCAAGGAGGGCGAUUACCACGGCAGGGUUCGUGAC
This 506-nucleotide ribosomal RNA is filed under the name Polaromonas sp. BAC71P. RNAcentral describes it as "bacterial SSU rRNA". It matches the Rfam family "Bacterial small subunit ribosomal RNA", at positions 969 to 1475 of the family's 1533-position model. Lineage: Bacteria; Pseudomonadati; Pseudomonadota; Betaproteobacteria; Burkholderiales; Comamonadaceae. The record is from RNAcentral.